AAGGAAGGAAGGAAGGAAGGAAGGAAGAAGGAAGGAAGGAAGGAAGAGAAGGAUGGACGGAGAGAAAUGAGAGGGAGAAACUUUUAAUAAUCAAGAUUUAAUGAGAAAAGUUUAUAAAACACGACAGGAAGAUGAAUGUGUCAAAGUGUCAAAGAUCAUUUAUCUGGUGAGGAAAUUAUUGGUGAUUGUUGAGCUGUCACAGCUGUUUGAAUCUGACUUUUGAAAAACAAAUCAUCAGUUUUUCCAAUUUUACAAAGUUUUCACCACAAAUACCCAAAAUAAAGUUUUCAUGCCUGUCUACUUUCUCACCGUAGCUCUUUGCUCUAGAUAAAACAAAUACGGAAUUUUCAGUGUGUGAAAAUGUCAAAAUUGUUUUUUUACAAAGUGAUUUCAGUGAGCAGGAAUGAAUUUAACUCUCGAUUGAUCUCGUUUCUGUCACUGACUUCAGAUCCUGCUGAGUUUUCAUCAAAGCUAUCAGUUGAGUCAGUGCCAGAAGAUGACAAACGGAAGAACUAUGGAGGUGUGUACGUGGGGUUGCCUACAGACCUGAGCAGCAUACCCCAAGUCCAGAUUGGCUCACUCAGAGGUCUUAAAUGGUUUCACGUAGUCCUACACCUCUACAGUUUAUUCUUCUGGUUUAAGGACAAACUGCACCCUUCUGAUGAGAGCCUCCGAGAGACUCGCUAUCCCUCAGGAAACCGCUGUGGGGGGACUGACUCUGGUUUUAAUGAAGAGCCAAGCCUGUGCAUGCUUCACUGUGUACAGAGGAAGAAUGACACAGCGUGAGAGAGUUUGUCGAGUGAGGAAAAAGAAACCCUGCAGGCGUUCAUCAGCUCCUCCUGUGUUGUCAUCAGGAACCCACUGAGUCUCCACUGAGCAGCAGCAGCACCCAGCAGAGCCAAUUUCAUCUCUCAGCGUCCCCUCAGAGGCUUGAAUGGGAUCAACUCCACCUGAUUCAGCUGACUGCGGCAACCCUGACAAACUGGUUAGAGAGUCCAGACGUAGAUUUGGACCUGGACAUUCAAAUUGGUCACAGUUUGCUGCUCAGGCGACGUAACGCUGCAGGCUUUUUAUUCCAGGCAGAUGCACCAGUGGGAGCUCAGCAUUUGGCCUCAUUGGAGUGAUUGGUAGCUGCCAUCUGUCCCUAUUACUUUUGUUCAGUUUUUGUGAAUAUUAUGGCAUAGCUCCUCUUGUCAUUGAAAAAUUAAGUCAUUAGGUAUGCUUUAUAUGUUUUUGUAUUGUCAGCCAAUGGCUUUACAAUUUUUGAAUGAUUCACGUGAGAUUAAACUGCUCACAGAACACAAUAUGCAGCUUACAGCUCAGUCACAUUAGAGUUUUUCCUCUGGCAACCUUCUGGCAGAUAGGGAAAUUUGUUAGUUGAAUUGUUUGUUGCAAACUAAAAGACUACCCAUAAGUUAAGCAUACAAAACUCUCAACCUCUGGGCAAUUACAUUUGAUCCCAAUGCAAUUGCACAGGUAGCCUUGUGGGAUGGAACCUGUCGGCAAACAUCUUGAUGUAUGCUCAAUCAUCCAGGUAAGUAAAUCCCCAAAAGUUGAUUCUGUUUAUCUGGAUGUAGCGUUUUC
Haplochromis burtoni (Burton's mouthbrooder) is the source of this 1584-nucleotide long non-coding RNA. RefSeq lists it as uncharacterized. The transcript has 6 exons. Lineage: Eukaryota; Metazoa; Chordata; Actinopteri; Cichliformes; Cichlidae. The record is from RefSeq and is a predicted model, not a curated record.